UACGUAGGCAGCAAGCGUUGUUCGGAGUUACUGGGCGUAAAGAGUAUGUAGGCGGUUGCGUAAGUUCGGUGUGAAAUCUCCCGGCUUAACUGGGAGGGUGCGCCGAAAACUGCGUGGCUUGAGUGCGGGAGAGGAGAGCGGAAUUCCUGGUGUAGCGGUGAAAUGCGUAGAUAUCAGGAGGAACACCGGUGGCGAAGGCGGGUAGCUGGGCCGACACUGACGCUGAGGAGCGAAAGCGUGGGGAGCGAACAGG
RNAcentral lists this ribosomal RNA (253 nucleotides) under uncultured bacterium. RNAcentral describes it as "partial 16S ribosomal RNA". It matches the Rfam family "Bacterial small subunit ribosomal RNA", at positions 524 to 776 of the family's 1533-position model. The record is from RNAcentral.